GGGUAGAAAAGGUCUAAUGUUAUUGUCCCCCAGCACCAGAUGAUUUAAGCUAGAUCCAUUGCUUCACUGCUGGUUCCUCAUGGCAAGAACCUUGGCCAAAGCCGGCCAGGCCAUGAUGUCGGCCACCCAAGCGCUCACCUUGGGGCGGGCGUCGAACAGCUUCUUCACAGGUGUCCCCAUCAGGCUGGUCAGGGCCGGGAGGUGGUGGAGGUCGGCCAGGGUGAAGCAGUCGCAGCCUAGGUACUUGGACUGGCUCAGGCGGACCUCGUAGAUGUCGAGGACCUUGGCGAGCUUGGCCUCGUUCUCCUCGACUACUGCAGCAUCCGUGGCCAUGCCAAUUUUCGACUUGUACACGAGCUCCCGAUGCAGCUUCGACGCCGCCGGGUCAAACUGGUGGGCCUCGACUUCCAUCCACACGCUCACGGUUGCCAUGGGUUCGCCCUCGCAAACGAGGGGAGUGCCCUUGUCCUCGUAUACGUGAGCAAUGUAUUGAGUAAUUGCCCUCGAUUCUGCCACCACAAAGAGCAUAAUCAAGACAAACUAUAUUUCGCCUAGUUGUUUAUUGUUCUGUUGACUGAGUGAACAGUCAAAGAUUGACUAAACACUUGAUCUUUCAUCAUGAUUGCACGAUCUAUCGGCAAUCGAAUCAGCGCCCUUUGACUAAAUACUUUAAUCUUUAAUGAUGGUCACACAAUAUAAUACAUCAGUAAUAGAAAGACUUACCGAAUAGCUUCAAAUCUCCGUCCUCGAAGACCGGGACUUGACCGAAAGGCUGCACAGAGAGAUCGAGAAACGUUAGAUCCAAGAGACGACGGAGGAUUUCUUGAAAGACCACGUCGAGACCCCAGGACCAGAAAAUAGUUAGGAAUACUGUGGCACGGGCGGUGGGCGGGGACGGACACUUACGUUGAGGGCGAGGAAAUGCUCCUUCUUGUGCUCGCCGGCUCGCAAGUUGACGAAGACGAACUCGAACUCGAGGUCCUUCUCGUGGAGGGCAAUGAGGAGCCGCAUCGUCGGGGCGGAGAAGACGCUUCCGUGGACCUUCGUAGCCAUGUUCCUGUCCGUCGGCGAGAUUCUUAUCUCCCAUUCUUGGAAAGGAGAUACUAUUGUUGUAUUAUUCUUAUUUCCUUUUUCUGCUAAAUUCCACUAGAGGUGAGCAUUGGAUCGACCCUGGAUCGGCCCAACCCUAUUGGUCCUAAUCCGGUUCCUAGGGAGACUGGGUUAGUUUUUAGUCCUAGAAUUUCUAGACCAGUACUGUGCGGGUCAGUUCUCGAUCAGUCCAACCCGGAUCAACCCUGACUCUCUAUAUAUAUAUAUAAUAUUAUUUAUAAUUUUUUUAUAUAGAGAAAACCCUAAAAUAAAUAGUGUCAACAGCAUUAAAUGGCUAUUUAGUAAUGAGUUCAAGUAAUUUUACAUUAUUCUUUAAUAACUUGAAAAUCAUAAUUUAUGAAGGAGGAAAAUGUUUUUGUGAGAAGUCCUCACGGUGUCCAAAAAAGUAUAAACAGCUCCUUAUGGCAUCCCCUAUAGUAUUUGUUCUCUUCUGUCUUAUUUGUUAUCUUAAUCUUCAAUUUGUCAAAAUCGAAAUAAACAACUUCUCCACUCGCCACUCGACACUCACCUUGCUCGCUUUAGGUCAUUCGUGCCACUCGCCGCUUGAUUCUCACUUGGCUUGCUACUCCCCGCUCAACAUUCGAUGCUCAUUCUUUCGACGCUCACCCCACUUAACCCUUAAUGCUUGCCUUUCUUAACUGACCUUACUUAUCAUCGAACUCAUUGGGUUAGUACGGUCAUUGGUUGCCAUUUCAAAGAGUACAAAAAAUAAAAUAAAAAUUAUUAGUUGGUUCUAGGUUGACCUGGAAACCGGACUAAACCCAUUGAGUCAAUCCGGUCUUUAAUGGCUUUUUUAAGAAGUACAAAAAAUGAAAUAAAAAAUUAUCGGUUGGUCUCGGGUUGACCCUGGAAUCAGACCAAACCCAUUGGGUCGGUCCGGUCCUCGGUUCCAAGCUCAAUUAGGUCGGUCAUCGGUCCUAAAAAUUGAGGACUAGCACUGUGCAGGUUGGUCCUAGGGUUAGGGGGUGGAUCGGUCCAACCCGAACCAUGCUCACUCCGAAAUUCCACACCAUCUAUCAUGGCACUACUUUUUUCGUGGUCUGAAAGCUUCUCAGAAAAUGAAAUACAUCGGUGGCAGUUGGGAUUGGACCGCCUAAACUUGAAACUGUGUGGAUUCUACCAGCCGAUUUGGUCCAAUACUAAAGCAAUGAGAAAAAAAAAACAAUCAGUUCCAUUAGACCGGAUCAGAAUUGAACCGAAUCGGUGAUGUGGUCCGAUUUCCGAUUCUAAGACCAAUCGAUCCAAUCCUUAGUUCUUAUUUUUGGGAACAUGACUGUCUCUUGGUCCGAUUUCCAAUUUCACCUUGGAACUGGAUCGGAUUGAGAACCGAUCACCCUUACUUGAAAGGAGACAACAAAUCCCUAUGCAACAGGUAGGCAUAGCAAUAAGUUACUCAUGCGAAACGUGCCUCUACUCAGAAGGAUAAUUUUUUGAAAAGCAAAAAGGCAAUUCUCUCUUUAGAAAGACUUUGAGAAAACAUUAAUUAUGUUUCAAAAAUGAGAAAGAAUGGAAAGAUUUUUCGGGUGGGUCGAAAAUAUAGAAAACUUCUAAUUUUACUUAAGGCAUAAAAAGAGUGUAAAAUUUUUUCCCCUUUUUUUGGAAUUUUCUUCUCUCUUCCAUUGACCAUGAUUGCAAACAUAAGGAAAGGGCUAAAAGUUGAAUUUGAUUUCUUUUUUGUCGAAGAAAAUUUUAUUGAAAUUACGAACAUGGUCUAAAGAGCUCGGAGCAAGGCCAAUCUAAACAAAGGAGGGCCCAAAGGCUUUAAGGAGGAAAAGAAAGCCGGUUUUGUGGAAGUGAGCCAAUCCGUCAUGUCUUCGCAGCUCAGUCGGUUACCGCAUUAGAAGCCCGCGAACAAUGGACUAUGCAAAUGGAUGGAUGGGCCUUGAGUAGCUGUAAAAAAUUCACGAUAAGAAGUCGCUCCUCCCGGUUGAAAUUAUCUGUAAACCCGCUUAUCAAAGCUUCCACGAGAUCGGCAUGGUUGAGCUCAAUUGCAUGGUUUGCGGGACCAUCUUCACUCAAAACUACAAGCUGGAUUGCUUCAAGGACGGCUAGGGCUUCCACCUAAGAAGGUGAUGAUAUCUUCACCAAUUUGGGGAAAGCCGUAAUAAUAAUACAAGCACGAUCUCUGUAGAUACCAGCUAUGACGCCAUCCACCAAUCCAUUGACAAGGGAGCCAUCAACAUUGGAUUUUAGGAUUUUCUCCUCCAAUGAGAGCCUAGGUAUACAACUUAUAAAGGUGGGAUCUUUUAUUGUAUUUGAUGUAUGAAAGAUCCAUUUUAAGUAAUUUGGUCGCUAGAAAUAUGUUGAUUGCAUGGCAUGUCGUGCAUUCGGAAAUUUGCCCUGAAAUACAUUAUAAAAAGAAGACAUUAAUGAACUUCUAUGAAAUGGCUUCAUGGGAUUCAGGCAAUUGUCUUGAUCAUGGGAUAUCAUUGAGACAUAGGAAUCCGUAUUAUUAAAAGAUUUCCUACAAUUAUUUCUAGUAUGGAAUGAAUCAAUCAUCCACUUUGGUAUCUUAGGGUCCGUUUGUUUCGCGGAAAACAAUUUCCGGGAAAAUAUUUUCCAAAAUUACCGAUGUACCGAUGGCGGAAAAUAGGUAGUCAAAGAAAAUGUACCGAUGGAGAUCCUAAUAUUGUGAAAAAUGAUUUCUUCUUUUGAAAAGAGGAAAACAUUUUCCAUAACUUCUUCCACCUUGUUUCUUUUCACCAACACAUUUAUGCUUUCUUUUUCUUUCUUGUUUUUUUUAAUCGAGUUUUUAAUUUUUUUUCCUUUUCUUUUUUUCUUUUCUUCCUUGGUGGCCGUUUCAUCUUCUUCCUUGGUGGUCGGUUGCCAGCCACGGCGGCGGCCGGCAAUCGGCUGCAAGCCAGCUUGAGCCUUGCCCCAGGCUAGCAAGGCUUCGCCUAGCCCAAUCUGGCGAAGGGAGCUCGCCCAAUCCUUGCGAGCUUGGGCCUCGCCAAAUCGGGCGAGGCAGAGCCUUGCCGACUUAGGGUAGAGCUCGAACCUCGCCAGAUCCAGCGAGCUAGGUGAGGCUCGGGCCUCGCCCGAGCUCGCCAGAGGUUUGCCAGGCUCUAGUGAGCCGUGAGCUUGCCGAAUCUGGCAACGAAGCUUGGGCUCAUGAUCCAUAGGAACCCGAGCUCCACUGCCAGAUCGACAAGCUCGAGCGAGAUUGGCCGAGCCUCAAGUUCGUCGGAUCUGGCGACUAGGUGUUGGUCGGCCGCCAGGUAGCCGACCAUCAUCAGGCAUGCGGCAGUGGAGGAAGGUGGAGCCGGGAGGAAGAAAGAGGAGGAAGAAGGAAGGAAAAAAGAAAAAGAAAGAAAUAAUAAAAAUUUCGAUUUUUUAAAAAUAGAAAUAAUUAAAAUUUUAUUUUAAAAAAAUAUAAAAAAAUAAAACUAAUUUUUUAGUCAAUUAAAAAUAUUAAAAUUCAAUUUUUGAUAAUCUUUCCCAAACAAUUAAAUUAGCUAACGAAUGGUGGAAAAUAUUUUCCACUUGAAGUUUUGGUUUCGGCCAAACACCGGAAAAUAGUCAUUUUCCUGGAAAAUGACUUUUAGGAAAAUGUUUUCCGGAAACAUAUUUUCCAUGAAACGAACGGACUCUUAUUGAACAAAAAUGGUGAUAUUGUUCCUUGAUUGAUCAAUAAUUACGAUUUUUGGGAAGUAUCAUGAUCAUAAAAAAAUAAUGGCUUCCAUUUUUACAAAUGAACAAUUUGAAGACCUAUUGAUUCUAACAACUAAUUGCAGAGUUGAUCAUUCGGAUCUUUCAAUUCAUAGACAUGGAUCUCGAACCUAUGAAUGGGGGUAUUCACGAAACUCACAAAGAAAAAAAGGAAGUGAGUUAGACAAAAAAAAAAGAAGAGGAAACUUGGACAAAAUGAAACGAAGUGACUUAGACAAAUCUUUUUUGUUGAGAACCUUAGACCAAUCAAUCAAAUAUUGAUUAAUACUUAAUUGAUCAAAGACUACUUGAAAACGGCUCUUUAGCUUAGAAACAAAAUGUUCCAAAUGUUCUUGGAAAUUCUUGCUCCCAUUGGACCAUUUGUAUUUAUAUGUAUUAGGAUAUCGAUUCACAGAUCUCUCAGUUCAAGAAAUAAAAAUAAGAGGAUUGAACAAUUUCUUCUAACUAUUUUUCAAAUUCGAUAAAUGUAGGUUGAUCUUAUAUUUCAUUAUCGUUUUAUGAUUCAAAGUAUCAUUUCAUAUUUGAUCCCUUUGAAUUCCAUAUCCAAAAUUGCAAUCGGAUUCAUUCAUUAAAAAGAAUCAGUUCCAUACAUUUCUUAUGUACCCAUAGGUGCUAUAUUGGAUUUGAAUUAGAUUUCGGAUCCAUCUAUAUUGAUUAACUGUCUCAUUAUGUUGUUACUAGUAAAUACCAUUAUUUUUUGUUUUGGAUCUUUCAAAUCAUUUUCGCAUGAGAUCCGAACCCAUUUUUUCUAAUCUUUCAAUAAAAAGAUUCAUUUUCUUCAAAAAAGAGAGGAGGUAGAACCAAUAAAGAUUUCUUUUUCAAUUCAUCCCUGGAUUUGAAUACCUCAUUAAAGAAUUAUUUUUGAUCUAAUACGUAAGAAUCCAUAGAUAAGGCAAAUCCUUUAAGAUACAUCAAAUCUAGCUCACUUAUUGAUAGAGUAAAUAGAUCUGCCAUUAUUUGAAAUCUCUCUUCUGAUUCAAAAUCGUGGUGUAAUGUGUAUCAACCUUGUUUCGGUCAUGAAAUAGACGAAAUAAAUCAAAAAAAUGUAUUUUUGUUUAAGAAUGAAAUCUUAUGGAAACUGUGCAUAUCCAGUUCAUCCUUUAGAAUCAUAUCACAUCCCGGAUCUGAUGAAAUAUGAUGAAUUGAGACAAUACUUUGUAAAUACAUAAUUAUCUUAUAUAUAUUAACUAUAUCUUUAUUUUAUGAUCGUUUGGAAAGGACAAAAGAAACAUCUUGUUCUUUCUUCAACAAUUUUUUAUCUCUAGUGGGCCUCUUAGUAGGAUUCCAACCUAGAUGAAGUUUUGACCAUCUGUCAAAGAAAAAAGAAAGAAUGGAUCUUGUAGAAUUCCCAAGAAAUUCUUCGAUUUUUUUCGGAAGCAAAUGAUUCUUCAUCUCUUUCUCACAUUUCGUGAAUAGUUGGGAAUAUCUAGAAAGGCAUUUAGAGAAUCGGUCUGAUUCUAACUCUGUUCGUUUCGUUUGAAGAAAUGAAGGAUCCCAAAGAAUCAAUCUUUCUUUUAGUUGUUGAAUCUCUCUUUGAUUGAUCAAUGUAUGAUAUUCUGAAUCCUUAUUACUAAUGGAAUCGAAAUGAUCUCUGGAUUGAUCAAAAGAUCCUUUUAAUUGGCUAGAAUCCGUUAUUUGAACAAAACUAGAUCUUGUACAAUCAUAUUGAAUAUUUGACGAUACAUUUUGUAACUUGUUAAAAAAUCGGUCCUUGUUUACCAACCACACAUUGUCUAACCAAAUUCAAUUCUCUCUCAAUAUGUUCCUCAAAAAAUCUGAUUCGAGUAUUCUUCCCCUAGCUGACAAAGAGAUCUUGGCGGAAUUGCUACAUAUGAAAUUGAGCACAAUUUUCCAAAAAAAUAGCCCACUUCUUUCUCGAGAAGAGAUGGGAAAUAGGCUUAAUAUCAUUUGAUUGAAUAGUUGACCCAGCUCCUUGUUGUUUGAGGAAACCCUCCACUUCAAUUGGUAUUUUUUUCACGAAAAGCAAACAUGAGAAAACAAAUCUAGUCUUUAACUAAGAUUUCGAAUAGCUAUCACGAAUUCAAAUUAAUUAUGUUUCGUCUCUUACUUGGAGAAAGAUGAUCCAAAAUUCCCAAUCACAGUACUUGCAGAUCGGAUCAUCCAUAUAAUAUACAAAAAGAAACUCCAAAUAUUUAAUAUCUUUUCCUUUGAAUGAUAUCUCAAUUCCAACAAUGGUUUCAUUAGAUAUCUUACAACUAGAAUCAUCUUUUUUCCGCUCCAAUUCCUCCAACACUGCAAACCCAAGUUAAAUCCAGGCAUGAUACAUUUUUUUGUGAUUGGGAGAACUCAAUUACUCUCUUUCGGAUCUAGGAAAAAGCUCUCAGAGAUCUUUUUUUCCUUUUGGAAGAUAAAGGAGCCAAACGAUCAACCUAUUGAUAUUGGAAGAUCCAAAAGAUUCUUCCAAUGUAUCAUUUCUAGGUCUAAUGGAAUUCAUAGGUAUAGGAAAAAGCCCUAUUAAAUAGAGAUUUUUUCUUUCGGCCAUAUUUCAAUUAUUAAUACAGUAUAUAAGGACUACUACUACAAAUAGUACUACACCAUUGAUCGUGAAAUAUCAAGUGCUUGUUGAAUCCUGUGAAUUGCGUGAAAGUAGGAUACUCCAAAUUCGGGGGUCUAGGAGUUUUAUAAAAUGUUCUUGGUGAAAAAAAAUGUGGAUGAAAGAUCCUACGAAAUUGAAUUGGGUGCAUGAAUCUAAGAAAUAGUGAGAAUUAUGGAUCUCUCUCAAUUCGAAAAUCCAGGAUUUGAAUUGACAUCCUUUCAUUGAUUUCUCCUAAAUUGAAUUAAUUUCUCCUAAAGAUUUCAUUUCAAUUGGAAUUUGGUUACUCACCAUGUACGAGGAUCCCUGCUAAGCAUCCAUGGUUGAAUGGUUAAAGCACUCAACUCAUAAUUGGCGAAUUCGUAGGUUAAAUUCCUACUGGAUGCACGCCAAUGGGACACUACAAUAAAUCUAUUGGAAUUGACUCUAUGUCAAUGGAAUCUAAUCAUCCAUACAUAACGAAUUGAUGUGGUAUGUUAAUAUACCUUUAAUGUCAACUUUAAUGAAGAAUCAAGAUCAAGUAGGACAGAAAUAAAGCAUUGGGUCGAACUCUUCUGAAAUGGUAGAAGAAUAGGACCUAUUCUCAGUAGAAGAAUGGGACCUAUACAGGGACAUAUAAAGCAUUACAGACGUAUGAUCAUUACACUUCAACUGGGUUAUUCUAUUCCACCUCUUAAAAAGAAAAGAACUUAAAUCAAAAUGGUUAAUAUUAAUAGCAUAGCAAUAUAUUUAUACAAAACUUCUACCCCCAAGCACCCCAAGCACACGCAAUGGAGCCGUAAACAAUCAAGUGAAAUUCAAUACACAAAAUAAUUUGAUCUAUGGACAGCAUCAUUGUAAUAAAGGUCGUAAUGCCAGAGGAAUCAUUACCACAUGGCAUAGAGCGGGAUUUUCAGAUAGUCUAAUGAGUUGUAGUCGCCGUGGGUAAUUUUACAUUUGAUUUACAAUGCACUACUUAUAAGUAAAAUGAGAAAAAUGGUGCAUUGAAAACUGCAUAAUUUUCUUUAUAUUUUUUUAACAAGUUUUUUUUUUGUAUAUUUUUUUAACAAGUUCAUAAAAGCACUUUUAAACAAAGUCCAAUUUGGAUAGGAGAAUUUUCAUUUGGCCCCACCAUUUUGAUCAUUUGCUUGCAGCCAUGCAAAGAAAGUGACCAGAUUUGGCCCAUAAAUUAUAAACAAGUUGAUAAAGACUUAAGUGGAAAGGACAAAUAGUAACUUCAACUCAAAUAUUUCCCAGCCUGAGAGUUUCUUAGUAGAUCCACUGUUCCAUGUCGUGAGAUCAGCCUUUUGGAUGAGGAAUGAGUAGUGUGCAAAAAUCAAGAAUUCAUUGUGCAAUUGGCACGCGCCUACCCUACCAGAGCAGCCAUGGCCUGGAUCCGGAAGAAACUUGUGGUGGCCAUGAUGGUGAGCUCGACGGAGCUCAAGUGGCCAGCUCAAAGCAGGGACAGUGGGAGGGUGUCUUCUGGUUUCUUAUCAUUUUUAUCGUAUCCUUUUUUUCUUUCUCUAAACUUUUUAUUUUUUUCUUUCUCUAAACUUUUUAUUAUAAAAUCUUUUAAUUCUUUUCCAGACGGGGCGUUAGGUAGAGUCAGCUUUUUUUUUUUUUUUUAGGUAGAGUCAGCUUUUAGUCGGUCAAAUCAUUGAAUUAAUAAAAAUGUUCAUUAUACAAAUUUGAAUAGGAUUCAGUCGUACUAUUCAAAAGUUUUAGGUCAAUUACAUUUGCUUGAUGAAUUUUAGAAUUACUGAUGUAGGUAUCCAUGUGUAAAGGUAAUACUCAUCCAUGGAUAUAGUCCAGUGAACUUCUAUGGUACUUUAACAGAUGAAAGCGGGUGAAGCUUUCGUGACUAGUAGGGAAACUGUAGGCCAUCCUAUGGAGAUGAUGAGAGGAGAGCUUUGUAAUCAGUAAAGAUAAUACCAGCACUUGCAGCAAUCAUUACACUCUAAUGAAACUAGAAAGAUGAGACAUACAAGCCAAUGACUCAUGAAACAUAACUCUGCAUCUGUCCAAUCUUUUUAUUGCUCAUAAUAGAAAAUCACAGAACCGGAAGUUCAGUUCUGUGAAACACCAGCCUGGUCAUCAUCUCCAACUUUGAUGAUUGAAGACAACCCAUAAGAGAAAAUCCCACAUAAAACAUUGACCCAACAAGGACAGAAUCAACAACGAAAUACAGCUAACAACUCAUAUAAAAAGGGGUAGGAAAGGUCUAAUGUUACGGUCCCCCAGCACCAGAUAAUUUAAACUAGACCCCUUUGCAUCACUGCUGGUUCCUCAUGGCAAGAACCUUGGCCAAAGCCGGCCGGGCCAUGAUGUCGGCCACCCAAGCGCUCACCUUGGGGCGGGCGUCGAACAGCUUCUUCACAGGUGAAGCCAUCAGGUUGGUCAGGGCCGGGAGGUGGUGGAGGUCGGCCAGGGUGAAGCAGUCGCAGCCCAAGUACUUGGACUGGCUCAACCGGGCCUCGUAGAUGUCGAGGACCUUGGCGAGCUUGGCCUCGUUCUCCUCGACUACUGCGGCGUCCGUGGCCAUGCCGAACAUCGGCUUAAACAGGAGCUCCCACUGCAGCUUCGACCCCACCGGGUCAAACUGGUGGGCCUCGACCUCCAUCCACACGCCCAAGGUCGCCAUGGGUUUGCCCUCGCACACGAGGGGAGUGCCCUUGUCCUUGUAUACAUUAGCUAUGUAUUGAGUAAUUGCCCUUGAUUCUGCCACCACAAAGAACAAAAUCAAGAUGUAAACCAUGCUUCGCGUAGUUGUUUCUUGUUCAGUUGACGAAUUGAACAGUCAAAGAUUGACUAAACACUUGAUCCUUCAUCAUGGUCGCAUGAUCUAUCAGCAAUCGAAUCAGCACCCUUUGACUAAAUACUUUCAUCUUUCAUGAUGGUCACACAGUAUAAUACACCACGAACAGAAAGACUUACCGAAUAGCUUCAAAUCUCCGUCCUCAAAGGCCGGGACUUGACCGAAAGGCUGCACAGAGAGAUCCAGAAACGUUAGAUCUGAGCGAGACGAAAGAGGGUUUCUUGAAAGAGCACAUUCAGACCCCCCAAGACCGAAAAUCUGCGAGUAUAAAGGUCGAACUGGUGGUGGGCAGGUAAGGAGACUUACGUUGAGGGCGAGGAAGUGCUCCUUCUUGUGCUCGCCGGCCCGCAUGUCGACGGGGACGAACUCGAACUCGAGGCCCUUCUCGUUGAGGGCAAUGAGUACCCGCAUAGCCGCGGUGGAUAAGACGCUUCCGUGGACCUUCAUCACCAUGGUGGCUGGCUCUGCUUUCUUUUCUUUAUCUCUCUCUCUCGAAGGCUAAAUGCAGAACAGAUGUGGCGAAAGAGGGUGGGUUUUGGGCUCUUUUUAUAAGGGUUUCAGGAUCUCGUUCUGGAAUGAUCCAAUUGACUUUUAAAAUUCGAUUUUUCUUUCCCAUUCAACGAGAUAAUUUUGCUUUUUUUAUCUUUGUUGUUUAUACUUAGGAGAUGGAGAUGCAAAAAUGGCUCCUUGUCGGAUGAAGAGAGAGAGAGAGAGAGAGACGGACGCGACGAUUCCUGAGAAGCCAUUUUGAUAUUCAUCUCGCACUUUCUUCUCUUCAUUCGAUGUCUGAACAGAUCAAAAGAAAGGCGCAGACACCUACGUGCGCACGUCAUGCGGCGAGUAGCUCGUGCCAAAAGCGCCUAUCUACCGACCCAAAAAAAAGAAGCGCCUAUCUACCGACAAAAAAGAAAAAAAAAGCGCCUAUCUUGGGAAGGAAGAUACAUUUAGGGGAUAUUUGGUAGCUAUCUAAAUAGUAUCUGAUUCUGAUUUUUUCUUUCUGAAAGUAAUUUUGAAAUGGAAUCUCGUUUGGUAAAAUUUUUGUUCCAGAAAUAAAUUUAUAUUUUUCUUGUUCUCGAAAAUAGAUUUGAAAUAGAAUCAAGAAUAAAAAAAAAAAUUGACUCUUAUUCUAUAAACAAAUCUAAAAAUCAAAAUCAACUUUUCUUCUUCUUCUUUUUUCUUCUUCUUCAUCAACCGACAUCCCGCAAAUACUAUCCGCCGCCGUCCACCAUCGUUCGCUACCGGUCGCCGACAACCGGUCCGGCGAGCACCGAAGGCUCGCCAGGCCAAGACGAGGUCCAGCGAGCUCGCUGAGGCUUAGGCUUGGCCUUACCAGAUUUAGCGAGGUCGAGCCUUGCCCAACUACCGGCGAUGCUCGGCCAACGAGGGCCAACAAAACUUCAAUGAGGUCGCCAGCCACAAGAAGAAGAAGAAGAAGAAGAAGAAGAAGAGAAAAAAUGGGAAAAAAAGUAAAAAUGAAAAAAAAUAAUUGAUUUGGAACAGAAUCAAUAAGCAUGAUACCAAACGCAAUUCUAUUCCAAAAUCAGAAAUUUUAAAUAAUUAUUAAAUGGCUUAAAAUGUUUAGAAAUUGUUCCUAAGAAUAGAAUAAAAAAUAAUCAUUUCUGAUUAGAAUUUGUUCUCGAGAAUAAAAUCAUUACCAAACACACUCCUAAAGGGCGAGGAUGUAACUCCACUCUUCAGAAAAGACUUUGAGAAAACGUGAAUCAUGUUUCAAAAAAUGGAUUACUACAAAUGUAUCAUGCAGUCCCUAAAAUUUAAUUUUGUACAACGUGAUCCGUGAGUUUUUAUUAUAUAAUAUCAUUUCUAAAUUUUUAAUUUAUUUUAUAUAAUCUUUACAUUAUUGAUAAAUAUUUAGUAUAAUCUUUAAAUUAUAUGAAUUUGUUUAAAAAUUUAUUAUCUAAAUUCUAGAUUCGAACAUAUUGAGAAAGUUUGACCAUACGUUGGAUUUUUUAAUAGAAUAUUAGACACGUGUUGGAGUAUCUAAUAUGACUCAAAAACUCUGGAGAAUGUCGACGUUUCCCAUAGCAGAGUUAGCUUUUUUGAUUGGUCAAAUCAAACAAAUUAAUAAAAAAUUUUAUUAUACAUUUUAAAAUAUUAGGGGUCAAUUACACGACAAAAUUUAAAAUUUCCGAUGCAUAUAUCCCUUAGUGUAAAGGCAGUACUCAUCCAUGAAUAAAGUGCAGUGAACUAGGCGAAGCUUUAGGGAAGCCUUAGGCCAUCCCAUGGAGAUGAUGAGAGGAGGGGUUUUCAUCAGUAGAGAUAAUACCAGCACUUGCAGAAAUCAUUACAUUCUAAUGAAACUACAAAGAUGAGGCAUAUAAAACAAUGACCCAUGAAACAUAAUUUUGCAUCUGUCCAAUCUUUUUAUUGCUCAUAAUAGAAAAUCACAGAACUUGCAGUUCGGCGAAACGCCAGCCUGGUCAUCAUCUCCGACUUUGAUGAUUGAAGACGACCCUUCAGAGAAAAUCCCACAUAAAACAUUGACCAAAGGAGGAUAGAAUCGACAGCAAAAUACGAUUACCAACUCAUAUAGAAAGGGGUAGAAAAGGUCUAAUGUUAUCGUCCCCUAGCACCAGAUGAUUUAAGCUAGACCCAUUGCUUCACUGCUGGUUUCUCAUGGUAAGAACCUUGGCCAAAGCCGGCGGGGUCACGAUGUCAGCCACCCAAGCACUCACCUUCGGGCGGGCGUCCAAUAGCUUCUUCACAAGUGUCCCCAUCAGGCUGGUCAAGGCCGAGAGGUGGUGGAGGUCAGCCAGGGUGAAGCAGUCGCAGCUUAAAUACUUGGACUGGCUCAGCCGAGCCUCGUAGAUGUCGAGGACCUUGGCAAGGUUGGCCUCCUUAUCCUAGAUGGGCUAAGUCAAACGGGUUUUUCAUUUGAUGGGUCAAGUUAAGUCUGUUCGCCCACUCAGCCCAUAAAAGGAAAAUACAGUUAUUUUCUAAGUGAAAAUAACUGUAAUAUAUAAAAUAAAAAUUAAAUGUUCAGAGAGAAAACACGUUUCUCCAUUUUCUUCUCUUUGAAACAGUUCACUCUCUCUUGAAGAAGGAGAAUUCUGAGAUUGCAACAAUGUUUUUUUGAACAUGUUUCUGCGUUCGUUUUUUAUAUUCGAUCGUUUGAGUAUCAGUUCGAUUUUCAGAAAUCUAUUUGCCGCAUCCUUGACUACUGCAGCAUCCGUGGCCAUACCAAUUUUCGACUUGUACACGAGCUCCCAAUGCAGCUUCGACGCUGCCGGGUCAAACUGGUGGGCCUCGACUUCCAUCCACGAGAAAAUAUUGGCUUUGCCCUCGCAAACGAGGGAGCGCCCUUGUCCUCGUAUACGUGAGCAAUGUAUUGAGUAAUUGCCCUCGAUUCUGCCACCACGAAGAGCAUAAUCAAGACAUAAACUAUAUUUCGCGUAGUUGUUUCUUGUUCUGUUGACUGAGUGAACAGUCAAAGAUUGACUAAACACUUGAUCUUUCAUCAUGAUUGCACGAUCUAUCGGCAAUCGAAUCAGCGCCCUUUGACUAAAUACUUUCAUCUUUCAUGAUGGUCACACAAUAUAACACAUCAGUAAUAGAAAGACUUACCCAAUAGCUUCAAAUCUCCGUCCUCAAAGGCCGGGACUUGACCGAAAGGCUGCACAGAGAGAUCGAGAAACGUUAGAUCCAAGAGACGAAGGAGGUUUUCUUGAAAGACCACGUCGAGACCCCACGACCAGAAAAUAGUUAGGAAUACUGUGGCACGGGCGGUGGGCGGUGAUGGAGACUUAAGUUGAGGGCGAGGAAAUGCUCCUUCUUGUGCUCGCCGGCUCGCAAGUCGACGAAGACGAACUCGAACUCGAGGUCCUUCUCGUGGAGGGCAAUGAGGACCCGCAUCGUCGGGGCGGAGAAGACGCUUCCGUGGACCUUCAUCACCAUGAUUGCUCGCUCUGCUUUCUUUUCUUUAUCUCUCUCUCAGAACCUGAACGCAGAACAGCUGUGGCGAUCAAUGGUGGGUCUCGGGCUCUUUUUAUAAGGGCUUCAGGAUCUUGUUCUGGAAUGAUGUAAUUGACUUGAACAUUUCGAUUCUGGUAUGCCCUUCAACGAGAUAAUCUUGCCUUGUAUCUUUUAUUGUUUACAGUUAGCAGGUGGAGAUGACAGUAAUGGCUCCUUGUCGGGAUGUGGGGAGAGGGAGAGAGAGACGCAGGCGAUAAGUCCUCCGUAGCCAUGUUCCUGUCCGUCGGCGAGGUUCUUAUCUCCCAUUCUUGGAAAGGAGAUACUAUUGCUGUACCAUUAUUAUUUCCUAUUUCUGCUAAAUUCAACACCAUCUAUCACGGCCCUACUUUUUUCGUCGUCUGAAAGUUUCUCAGAAAAUGAAAUCCAUCGGUGGCAGUUGGGAUUGGACAGCCUGAACCUGAAACUGCGUGGACUCUACCGGCGGAUUUGGUCCAAUUUAUGAGAAUAUCAAUGUGGUUCCGAUUUUGAGGCAGAAUUGAAUUAGACCGACUAAUUAUUUUUUUAUUUAUUCAAAAAAUUAGUGAAAUAUGAACUAAAUACUAAAGCAAUGAGAAAAAAAAAAAACUAUCGAUUCCAUUAGAUCAUACCAGAAUUGGAUCGAAUCGAUGAUGUGGUCCGAUUUCCAAUUGUAGGACUAAUCGAUCCAAUCCUCAGUUCUAAUUUUUGGGAACAUGACCAUCUCCUAGUCAGAUUUCCGAUUUCACCUUGGAAUUGAAUCGGAUCAGAAACUAAUCACCCUUACUCAAAAGGAGACAACAAAUCUCUGUGUAGUAGGUAGCACAUCAAUAAGUCACUUGUGUGAAACGUGCCUCUACUCAGAAGGAGAAUUUUUUGAAAAUCAAAAAGGCAAUCCUCUCUUUAGAAAGACUUUGAGAAAACAUUAAUUAUGUUUAAGAAAUGAGAGAAAAUGGAAUGAAUUUUCAGGUGGGUUGAAAAUAAAGAAAACUUCUAAUUUUACUUAAGGCAUAAAAAGAGUGGAAAGUGUUUCUUGUUUUCCUUUUCUUUUUCUUUUUUUUGUAAUUUUCUUCUCUCUUCCAUUGACCAUGAUUGCAAACAUAAGGAAAGGACUAAAAGUUGAAUUUGUUCUUCUUUUUUUUAUCGAAGAAAAUUUUAUUGAAAUUACGAACAUGGUGUAAAGAGCUCCGAGCAAGGCGAAUCUGAACAAAGGAGGGCCCAAAGGGUUUGAGGAGGAAAAGAAAGCCGGUUUUGUGGAAGUGAGCCAAUCCAUCAUGUCGGUUACUGCAUUAGAAGCCCGCGAAAAAUGGGCUAUGCGAAUGGAUGGAUGGGCCUUGAGUAGCUUUAUAAAAUUCAUGAUAAGAAGUCACUCCUCCCGGUUGAAAUUAUUCGUAAACCCGCUUACCAAAGCUUCCACGAGAUCGGCAUGGUUGAGCUCAACUGCAUAGUUUGCGGAACUAUCUUCACUCAAAACUACAAGCUGGAUUGCUUCAAGGACGGCUAGGGCUUCCGCCUAAGAAGGUGAUGAGAUCUUCACCAAUUUGGGGAAACCCGUAAUAAUAAUACGAGCACGAUCUCUGUAGAUACCAGCUACGGUGCCAUCCACCAAUUCAUCGACAAAGGAGCCAUCAACAUUGGAUUUUAGGAUUUUCUACUCCAAUGGAACCCAAGUCUGCAACUUAUAAACGUGGGAUCUUUUCUUGUAUUUGAUGUAUGAAAGAUCCAUUUUAAGUAAUUUGGUCGCUAGAAAUAUGUUGAUUGCAUGGUAUGUCGUGCGUUCAGAAAUUUGCCCCGAAAUACAUUAUAAAAAGAAAAUAUCAAUGAACUUCUAUGAAAUUGUUUCACGGAUUCAGGCAAUUGUCUUGAUCGUGAAAUAUCAUUGAGAAAAAGGAAUUUGUAUUAUUAAAAGAUUUCCUGCAAUUAUUUCUAGUAUGGAAUGAAUCAAUCAUCCACUUUGGUAUCUUAUUGAACAAAAAUGGUGAUAUUGUUCCUUGAUUGAUCAAUAAUUUCGAUUUUUAGAAAGUAUCAUGAUCAUCCAAAAAUAAUGGCUUCCAUUUUUACAAAUAAACGAUUUGAAGACCUAUUGAUUCUAACAACUGAUUGCAGAGUUGAUCAUUCGGACCUUUCAAUUCAUAGACGUGGAUCUCGAACCUAUGAAUGGGGUUAUUCAUGAAACUCACAAAGAAAAAAGGAAGUGAGUUAGACAAAAGAAGAAGAAGAAGAAGAAAUUUGGACAAAAAAGAUUUCGAAUAGCUAUCAUGAAUUCAAAUUAAUUAUGUUUAGUUUCUUACUCGGAGAAAGACGAUCCAAAAUUCCCAAUCACGGUACUUGCAAAUCGGAUCAUCCAUAUAAUAUACAAAAAGAAACUCCAGAUAUUUGAUAUAUUUUCCUUUGAAUGAGAUCUCAAUUCCAACGAUGGUUUCAUUAGAUAUCUUACAACUAGAAUCCUCUUUUUUCCGAUCAAAUUCCUCCAGCACUGCAAACCCAAGUUAAAUCCAGGCAUGAUACACUUUUUCGUUAUUGGGAGAACUUAAGUACUCUCUUUCGGAUCCAAGAAAAAGCUCUCGAAGAUCUUAAGAUCUUUCCUUUUGGAAGAUAAAGGAGCGAAAUGAUCAACUUAUUGAUAUUGGAAGACCCAAGACCCAAACGAUUCUUCCAAUGUAUCAUUUCUAGGUCCAAUGGAAUUCAUAGGUAUAGGAAAAUGCCCUAUCAAAUAGAGAUUUUUUUUCUUUCGGCCAUAUUUCAAUUAUUAAUAUGAUAUAUAAGGACUACUACUACAAAUAGUACUACACCCUUGAUCGUGAAAUAUCAAUUGCUUGUUGAAUCUUGUGAAUUGCGUGAAAGUAGGAUACUCCAAAUUCGGGGGUCCAGGAGUUUUAUAAAAUGUUCUUGGUGGAAAAAAAUGUGGAUGAAAGAUCCCAUGAAAUUGAAUUGGGUCCAUGAAUCUAAGAAAUAGUGAGAAUUAUGGAUCUCUCAAUUCGAAAAUCCAGGAUUUGAAUUGAUGUCCUUUCAUUGAUUUCUCCUAAAUUGCAUUAAUUUCUCCUAAAGAUUUCAUUUCAAUUGGAAUUUGGUUAUUCACCGUGUAUGAGGAUCCCUGCUAAGCAUCCAUGGUUGAAUGGUUAAAGCGCCCAACUCAUAAUUGGCGAAUUCGUAGGUUCAAUUCCUAUUGGAUGCAUGCCAAUGGGACACUACAAUAAAUCUAUUGGAAUUGACUAUAUAUCAAUGGAAUCUGAUCAUCCAUACAUAACAAAUUGAUGUGGUAUAUUCAUAUCAUAACAUAAGAUAUUGGGGAAGAAAAUUGAUUUAUGGAAGAAAAAUUAUUAGGGAAAAAUCAAUAUACCUUUAAUGCCGAAUCAAGAUCAAGUAGGACAUAAAUAAAGCAUUGGGUCGAACUCUUCUGAAAGGAUAGAAGAAUAGGACCUAUUAUCGUUAGAAGAAUGGGACCUAUUCUUGGGCAUACAAAGCAUUACAGACGUAUGAUCAUUACACUUCAACUAGGUUAUUCUAUUCCCAUCUUAAAAAGAAACGAACUUAAAUCAAAAUGGUUAAUAUUAAUAGCAUAGCAAUAUAUUUAUACAAAACUUCUAUCUUGGGAUAGAAGUUUUGUAUAAAUAUAUCGCUAUGGAGCCGUAGACAUACACGAAAUAAUUUGAUCUAUGGACGGCAUCAUUGUAAUAAAGGUUGUAAUGCUAGAGGAAUCAUUACCGCAUGGCAUAGAGCAGGAUUUUCAAAUACUCCAAUGAGUUGUAGUUGCCAUGGGUAAUUUUAAAUUUGAUUUACAAUGCACUACUUAUAAGUAAAAUGAGAAAAACGGUGCAUUGAAAACUGCAUAAUUCUCUUUAUAUUUUUUUAACAAGUUCAUAAAAGCACUUUUAAACAAAGUCCAAUUUGGAUAGGAGAAUUUUCAUUUGGCCCCACCAUUUUGAUCAUUUGCUUGCAGCCAUGCAAAGAAAGUGACCAGAUUUGGCCCAUAAAUUAUAAACAAGUUAAUAAAGACUUAAGUGGAAAGGACAAAUAGUAACUUCAACCUCAAAUAUUUCCCAGCCUGAGAGUUUCUUAGUAGAUCCACUGUUCCAUGUCGUGAGAUCAGCCUUUUGGAUGAGGAAUGAGUAGUGUGCAAAAAUCAAGAAUUCAUUGUGCAAUUGGCACGCGCCCACCCUACCAGAGCAGCCAUGGCCAGGAUCCGGAAGAAACUUGUUGUGGCCAUGAUGGUGAGCUCGACGGAGCUCAAGUGGCCAGCUCAAAGCAGGGACAGUGGGAGGGUGGCUUCUGGUUUCUUAUCAAUUUUAUUAUAUCCUCUUUCUCUUUCUCUAAACUUUUUAUUAUAAAAUCUUUUAAUUCUUUUCCAGACGUGGCGUUAGGUAGAGUCAGCUUUUAGUUGGUCAAAUCAAAUGAAUUAAUAAAAAUGUUCCUUAUACAAAUUUGAAUAGGAUUCAGUUCGUACUAUUUAAAAGUUUUAGGUCAAUUACAUUUGCUUGAUGAAUUUUAGAAUUUCUGAUGUAGGUACCCCUUUGUGUAAAGGUAAUACUCAUCCAUGAAUAUAGUCCAGUGAACUUCUAUGGUACUUUAACAGUUGAAAGCGGGUGAAGCUUUCGUGACUAGUAGGGAAACCGUAGGCCAUCCUAUGGAGAUGAUGAGAGGAGAGGUUUUCAUCAGUAGAGAUAAUACCACUACCAGCACUUGCAGCAAUCAUUACACUCUAACGAAACUAGAAAGAUGAGACAUACAAGCCAAUGACUCAUGAAACAUAACUCUGCAUCUGUCCAAUCUUUUUAUUGCUCAAAAUAGAAAAUCACAGAACCAGAAGUCCAGUUCUGCGAAACACCAGCCUGGUCAUCAUCUCCAACUUUGAUGAUUGAAGACGACCCUUCAGAGAAAAUCCCACAUAAAACAUUGACCCAAGAAGGACAGAAUCAACAACCAAAUACAGCUAACAACUCAUAUAAAAAGGGGUAGAACAGGUCUAAUGUUACGGUCCCCGGCACCCGAUAAUUUAAACUAGACCCCUUUGCAUCACUGCUGGUUCCUCAUGGCAAGAACCUUGGCCAAAGCCGGCCGGGCCAUGAUGUCGGCCACCCAAGCGCUCACCUUGGGGCAGGCGUCGAACAGCUUCUUCACAGGUGAAGCCAUCAGGUUGGUCAGGGCCGGGAGGUGGUGGAGGUCGGCCAGGGUGAAGCAGUCGCAGCCCAAGUACUUGGACUGGCUCAGCCGGGCCUCGUAGAUGUCGAGGACCUUGGCGAGCUUGGCCUCGUUCUCCUCGACUACGGCGGCGUCCGUGGCCAUGCCGAACAUCGGCUUGAACACGAGCUCCCACUGCAGCUUCGACGCCACGGGGUCAAACUGGUGGGCCUCGACCUCCAUCCACACGCCCACGGUCGCCAUGGGUUUGCCCUCGCACACGAGGGGAGUGCCCUUGUCCUCGUAUACAUGAGCAAUGUAUUGAGUAAUUGCCCUGGAUUCUGCCACCACAAAGAACACAAUCAAGAUGUAAACUAUACUUCGCGUAGUUGUUUCUUGUUCAGUUGACGAAUUGAACACUCAAAGGUUGACUAAACACUUGAUCUUUCAUCAUGGUCGCACGAUCUAUCAACAAUCGAAUCAGCACCCUUUGACUAAAUACUUUCAUCUUUCAUGAUGGUCACACAAUAUAAUACACCACUAACAGAAAGACUUACCGAAUAGCUUCAAAUCUCCAUCCUCAAAGGCCGGGACUUGACCGAAAGGCUGCACAGAGAGAUCCAGAAACGUUAGAUCUGAGAGAGACGAAGGAGGGUUUCUUGAAAGAGCACAUUCAACCCGCCAAGACCGAAAAUCUGCGAGUAUAACGGUCGAACUGGUGGAGGGCAGGAACGGAGACUUACGUUGAGGGCGAGGAAGUGCUCCUUCUUGUGCUCGCCGGCCCGCAUGUCGACGGGGACGAACUCGAACUCGAGGCCCUUCUCGUUGAGGGCAAUAAGGACCCGCAUAGCCGCGGUGGAUAAGACGCUUCCGUGGACCUUCAUCACCAUGGUCGCUGGCUCUGCUUUCUUAUCUUUAUCUCCCUAUCUCGAAGCCUAAAUGUAGAACAGAUGCAGAACAGAUGUGCUUUAUUAUCUUUAUCUCCCUAUCUUGUUUUGGAAUGAUCUAAUUGACUUUUAAAAUUCGAUUUUUCUUUCCCAUUCAACGAGAUAAUUUUGCUUUUUUAUCUUUGUUGUUUAUACUUAGGAGAUGGAGAUGCAAAAAUGGCUCCUCCUUUUCUUUUCUCUCGCGUCCUUCCUUUCUUUUCCCUCUGCACCUUGUCAGAAAAAGGACAAAGUCCUUUGUUGACCUGUUGAAAAAAACGAGAGAGAACUCCCUUUUUUUUAAAUCUAACGUCCGCCCCCUCUUUCGUCCGUUUGCGAGCGGCUUUUAUGGGCGAGGUAUUAAGGCUUUCUAGAAUAUUUUAUUUCCUUUUUCACAUCGGAUUCACAUUUCCUUUCUCAACAUGCAUGAAGAUAUAUUGUCGAAAUAUGUACCCCACAUGCAAUAUUUCUUUUUAUUUUCCACAUCUCUUCUAGCCUUGUUUGAUUUCCUUUAUAUGCACUUCAUAUCUUUCCACAUUAAAUUAUGCAAAAAAAAAAGAAUAUUCUCCAUCGAUUUUUAUUAUAUAUUGCCAAAAAUUCAAGAUUAUAAUAGGAUUUUCUCAAAUUCUAAAUCUUGUCAAGAUGAGCUCGUAAUAUCUCCUUCUCACACUUGCCCUUUUUGAGAAUAUAUGAAUAGAUUACAUGAACAUACAAAAAAUCCUCUAUCAUAUCACUAAAAAUAUCGAAUCGUCAAUUCUUAUAAGUUAAUCUUUGGUCAUCAAAAAAUAAUGGGCUUGGGCCAAUUCCAUUUCAACGCAGGCUUAGUCCAACUUGCUAAAUUUAAGCUCAGAACCAUCAAAUUAAAUCCAUUCGUCACCAACCCAAUGCAAAUGUAAUAAAAAAAAAAAGUUCUCUUAAAACUACAUGUUAUGUAAUUUAAUUAUAAUUUUUUUUUGUUUAUGGGUUAAAAAUUAAUCUCUAAUUUUUAAAAGGGAAAACCUCAAAUAAGGAUUGAAAAUGGCUUCGUUUUCUCAAAAAAGAACCUAAAGUGAAGUUUGUCUCAAAUAAGGACCUAAAGUAGUCAUUUAGUCUCAAAAAAUGACCUAACUCGCCGGCCAAUGAACUAAUGCAUUUCUGAUGCGUAUUCCGGUGACCUAAUCAAGGUAUUUUCAUCCAAAAAAUAUUCUCUUUUCAUUUUCCUUUUCCCCUGUUCAUCUUCUCCAUCUGCGAGCAGACCUCCAAUAUCUCGCCAGUGAAGUAAUUGCCGACGAGAUCAAGCCACUUCAGCUUCUUGAGCCUUGCCACCUCCAGCGACAGCGGCCCCGUGAACUUGUCAUUGCCCAAGUGGAGUUCUUCAAGCUAGGUUAUCGCCUGUAAGACUUUGCUGGGGAAGAUCCCAAAGAGGUUGAGGAAUUGGAGGGAGGUGGGGCUGCCGAGCUUUGGCGGGAGGGUCCUGGUGAGGUUGUCGGUGGUGAGCGUGAGGUUGACGAGGUCACAAAGAAGGCCAAUUUUCGGGUGGGAUGUAGCUCGGGAGGCCGACGGAUGUGAUGUUGAGAGAGACGACCCACGAGCCAGCGUCGCAUGUGACUUCGGUGAAGGAGCAAUGCGGAAAGGGCGGUGGCAAGAAGGAGGAGGAGGAGUUGACCCAGUCGCUGAUGGCGGCGGAGGGAGGCUCGACCAUGGCGGUUUUGGGCUUCAAGAGCAUGUCCAGGUCGCUCUGUGCGAGGGAAGCAGAGAUGAAGAGGAGGAAGAAGAAGACUCCAUUGUAGGGCAGUUUCAUCCUCAGUGAGUUCGACGAGGCCAGCAAGGGCUCGCCGACCUCGCCGACCACUGGUAAGGGUAGGCGAGGGCUUGGCCCUCGCCUGCUGCCAACGCCUGCUACCGGCGAUAGGCGUUGAGCCCUCGCUGGCCUCAGGUGAGGCCAACCCACACCGGUCCCACGACCUUCGCUGGCCCUUCCCUACUUCCGAUGUCCUUGAUUUGGGCAAUGCCUAUCUUCGACGAAGAAGACGAUGAAUAGGGACAACCAUGGGUAGAUCAAGAAGAAGAUGAACAGGAUAAGGAAAACAAAAAGAUAAUAUUUUUUGGACAAAAAUACUCCAGACCAGGUCGUUGGAAUACGCAUUGAAAAUGCAUCAAUUCGCCGGCCGACAAGUCAGGUCCUUUUUUGAGACUAACUUAUGUGGCCAAGAGACCAUUAAAACUAUUUUUAUUACUCUUUUAUUUAUAGAAAAAAAUCUCCUUGUUAGUUUUUGUUGGAAAUAUGAUUUGUUUUUUUUAUUCUAAGUAUCUAAAUGCGGUUAAUUGAUUCUAUGAAUCCAUGAGAUUGGAUAUUAGGACAGUAGUAUAGGAAACAACAUAUUUUGUAUAUUCUUUCCUAUCGUACUCUUUUCUUGUAUUAUUAAUAGGUGUGUAAUACAUGUACAAACACAGCAAUACACAAUACAUAAAAUUCCUCCAAUUCAUUCUCAGUUUUUGUCAAUUUUCUUUCUCAUUUUCUAUCAGUUUCAUCUUCUACUUCAUGUGGGACUAAGGUUCCAAGAGACCCACAAGGCACUUCAAGCCUCCAAGAGUCCCACAUUGACUAAACAUUUAAAGAGCAGAGAUUGUCUAUAAAAUCUAAGCUAUGCAUAACUUUUAGCCAAAUUAUUCACGGCUUUCAUGGUUAAAGUUAAGUGUGAAACACACGAAGUGUGAAUCACAUUUGAAUAUUUUGCACGUGGAAACAUGUGUGAUUAGUUUUGUUGAAUUGCUCGAGAACCGAAUUGGAUUGAUCGGUCUGGAGCGCGGUCACUCUUUAGUGCAAAAAAGUAGAGCCGAUUUUGUUGGACCGGACCGGACCGGACCGGAACCAAUGGUCGGUCCGGUUCCCGGUCCUAGGACCAAACGGUCCGGUCCACGGUUUGCAAUUUUGGGAAUCGGUGCUCCCGGUCCGAUUCCCGGUUCCAAGGUGGAACCGGACCGAACCGGGAACCGAUCACCCCUAGCUGGCCCUUCCCUACUUCCGAUGUCCUUGAUUUGGGCAAUGCCUAUCUUCGACGAAGAAGACGAUGAAUAGGGACAACCAUGGGUAGAUCAAGAAGAAGAUGAACAGGAUAAGGAAAACAAAAAGAUAAUAUUUUUUGGACAAAAAUACCCCAGACCAGGUCGUUGGAAUACGCAUUGAAAAUGCAUCAAUUCGUCGGCCGACAAGUCAGAUCCUUUUUUGAGACUAAAUGACUGCUUUGGGGCCUUAUUUGAGAUAGAUUCCAUUUAAGGUCUUCUUUUGAGAAAAUGGGACCACUUUAGGUCUCUAUUUGAGAUUUUCCCUUUUUAAAAUGAUAAACAACUAAUCGUGGUUCUUUACCCAAAAAAAAAAAAAAAACAACUAAUCGUGGUUGUCAAAAUUUAUAUGUCAACACACCUCUUAGAAAUAAAAGAGCUUAAAUAAAAAUACUUAAUAUUAAUAGCAUGUUGAUACAUUUAUACAAAACUUCUACCCCGGGCACACGUAAUAAAGUCGUAGAUAGUCAAGUGAAAUCUAAUAUGCGAAAUAAUUUGAUUUAAGGACAGCAUCAUUGUAUUAAAGGUCGUAAUGCCAAAUGAAUCAUUACCGCGAGGCAUAGAGCAGGAUUUUCAAAUACUCCAAUGAGUUGUGGUCACCGUGGGUAAUUUUGAAUUUGAUUACAAUGCACUACUUAUAAGUAAAACGAGAAAAGUGGUGCACUGAAAACUGCAUAAUUUUCUUUAUUUUUUUUAACAAGUUCAUAAGAGCACUUUUAAAGAAAGUCCAAUUUGGAUAGGAGAAUUUUCAUUUGGCCCCACCAUUUUAGUCAUUUGCUUGCAGCCAUGCAAAGAAGUGACCAGAUUUGGCCCAUAAAUUAUAAGCAAGUUAAUAAAGACUUAAGCGGAAAGGACAGAGUAACUUCAACCUCAGAUAUUUCCCAGCCCGAGAGUUUCUUAGUAGAUGCACUGUUCCAUGUCGUGAGAUCAGCCUUCAGGACGAGGGACGAGUAGUGUGCAGAAAUCAAUAAUUGAUUGUGCAAUUGGCACGCGCCUACCCUGUAAGAGCAGCCGUGGCCAGGAUCCGGAAGAAACUUGUCGUGGCCAUGAUGGUGUGCUUGACGGAGCUCGAGUGGCCAGCUCAAAGCAGGGAUAGUGGGUGGGUGGAGUCCGUUUUCUUCUCAUUUUUAUUUAUCAUCCUUUUUUUUUUUUAGGGAAAAAGCCACCAAAAACCCUCCCAACUUUGCCUCGAGUGACAGAUUUACCCCGAACUUUGUUUUGUGACGUGAAAAACCCCGAAAUUUACUAACUGUGACACAUUUACCCCAAACUUUUAUUUGUGUGACAUAUUUACCCUAAAUCAUAAGGGAAUUUUGGUAUUUUUACUUUUAAAAACUUUUUUCUUUUUUUUUUUCUUUUUUUUCUUCUUCUUCUUCCUUCCUUCCGCCGGCCAUGGCGGAGCCGGCGUAGGAAGCCGAUUUUUGCGAGGGCCUCCCUACUAAAAUCAGGGGAGGUGCCCCUGGCGAGGGCACCCUCGCCCGACGCCGGCGUCGAGCGAGGGAGGCCCUCGUCCAAUCCAGUCGAGGGCUGCCCUCGCCGGACGCCAACUUCCCUCUGCCAGCCAGCCGGCGGAGGAAAGAGAGAAGAAGAAAAAAAGAAAAAAAAAAAGAAAAAGAAAAAGAAAAAAUAGAAAUAAUAAGACGAAAAUACCCUUAAUGGGGUAAAUGUAUCACAGUUAGCAAACUUCGGGAUUUUUCACGUCACAAAACAAGUUUGGGCUUUUUGGUGGUUUUUUCCCUUUUUUUUAUUCUCUAAAUUUUUAUUAUACAAUUUUUAAUUCUUUUCCAGAUGUGACGCUAGGCAGAGUCAACUUUUGCUUGGAUAGAAGUUUUGUAUAAAUGCAUAGCCAUGCUAUUAAGCCAUGCUAUUAAUAUUAAGUAUUUUGAUUUAAGUUUUUUUUCUUUCUAAGAGGUGGAAUAGAAUUUUAGUUGUCAAAUCAAAUGACUUAAUAAAGAAGUUCAUCAUAUAAAUUUAAUUAGGAUUCAAUUGUACUAUUUAAAAGUAAGUUUUAGGUGAAUUGCAUUUGCUUGAUGAAUUUUAGAAUUUCUGAGGUAGGUAUCCCUUUGUGUAAAGGCAAUGCUCAUCUAUGAAUAUAGUCCAGUGAAAGUCUAUGGUACUUUAACAGAUGAAAGCGGGUGAAGCUUUCAUGACUGGUAGGGAAACUGGAGGCCAUCCCAUCCUAUGGAGGUGAUGAGAGGAGAGGUUUUUAUCAGUAGAGAUAAUACCUGCACCCGCAGAAAUCAUUACACUCUAAUGAAACUAAAACGUCAAAACAUUUAAGCCAAUGACUCAUGAAACAUGACUCUGCAUCUGUCCAAUCUUUUUAUUGCUCAUAAUAGAAAAUCACAGAACUAAAAGUACAGUUCUGUGAAACACCAGACUGGUCAGCAUCUCCAACUUUGAUGAUUGAAGACGACCCUUCAGAGAAAAUCCCACAUAAAACAUCGACCAAAGGACAGAAACAACAACAAAAUACGAUUACCAACUCAUAUAGAAAGGGGUAGAAAAGGUCUAAUGUUAUGGUCCCCCAGCACCAGAUAAUUUUAAACUAGAGCCUGGGCUUCACUGCUGGUUCCUCAUGGCAAGAACCUUGGCCAAAGCCGGCCGGGUCAUGAUGUCGGCCACCCAAGCGCUCACCUUGGGGCGGGCGUCGAACAGCUUCUUCACAUGGGUCCCCAUCAGGUUGGUCAGGACUGGGAGGUGGUGGAGGUCGGCCAGGGUGAAGCAGUCGCAGCCCAAGUACUUGGACUGGCUCAACCGGGCCUCGUAGAUGUCGAGGACCUUGGCGAGCUUGGCCUCGUUCUCCUCGACUACUGCGGCGUCCGUGGCCAUGCCGAAC
This 25994-nucleotide long non-coding RNA is filed under the name Eucalyptus grandis. Its description in RNAcentral is "long non-coding RNA (EGRA_LNC004647)". The stretch from base 17174 to 17247 matches the Rfam family "tRNA". The record is from RNAcentral. Lineage: Eukaryota; Viridiplantae; Streptophyta; Magnoliopsida; Myrtales; Myrtaceae.